UAGGGAAUCUUCCACAAUGGACGAAAGUCUGAUGGAGCAACGCCGCGUGAGUGAAGAAGGGUUUCGGCUCGUAAAACUCUGUUGUUAAAGAAGAACAUAUCUGAGAGUAACUGUUCAGGUAUUGACGGUAUUAACCAGAAAGCCACGGCUAACUACGUGCCA
RNAcentral lists this ribosomal RNA (162 nucleotides) under uncultured bacterium. RNAcentral's name for it is "partial 16S ribosomal RNA". It matches the Rfam family "Bacterial small subunit ribosomal RNA", at positions 355 to 510 of the family's 1533-position model. The record is from RNAcentral.